RNAcentral lists this ribosomal RNA (449 nucleotides) under uncultured Streptococcus sp. RNAcentral describes it as "bacterial SSU rRNA". It matches the Rfam family "Bacterial small subunit ribosomal RNA", at positions 933 to 1374 of the family's 1533-position model. The record is from RNAcentral. Lineage: Bacteria; Bacillati; Bacillota; Bacilli; Lactobacillales; Streptococcaceae.
UGGAGCAUGUGGUUUAAUUCGAAGCAACGCGAAGAACCUUACCAGGUCUUGACAUCCCGAUGCUAUUUCUAGAGAUAGAAAGUUACUUCGGUACAUCGGUGACAGGUGGUGCAUGGUUGUCGUCAGCUCGUGUCGUGAGAUGUUGGGUUAAGUCCCGCAACGAGCGCAACCCCUAUUGUUAGUUGCCAUCAUUCAGUUGGGCACUCUAGCGAGACUGCCGGUAAUAAACCGGAGGAAGGUGGGGAUGACGUCAAAUCAUCAUGCCCCUUAUGACCUGGGCUACACACGUGCUACAAUGGUUGGUACAACGAGUUGCGAGUCGGUGACGGCGAGCUAAUCUCUUAAAGCCAAUCUCAGUUCGGAUUGUAGGCUGCAACUCGCCUACAUGAAGUCGGAAUCGCUAGUAAUCGCGGAUCAGCACGCCCGCGGUCCGAAUACGUUCCGGCCUU